UUUGGAAUAACACGGGGAAACUUGUGCUAAUACCGAAUAAGCCCUUACGGGGAAAGUUUUAACGCCGAAAGAUGAGCCCGCACUUGAUUAGCUAGUUGGUAAGGUAAAAGCUUACCAAGGCAAUGAUCAAUAGCUGUUCUUAGAGGAAGACCAGCCACAUUGGGACUGAGACACGGCCCAGACUCCUACGGGAGGCAGCAGUGAGGAAUCUUGCACAAUGGGGGAAACCCUGAUGCAGCGAUGCCGCGUGAGUGAAGAAGGCCUUUGGGUUGUAAAACUCUUUCGUCGGGGAAGAAAAUGACUGUACCCGAAUAAGAAGGUCCGGCUAACUUCGUGCCAGCAGCCGCGGUAAUACGAAGGGACCUAGCGUAGUUCGGAAUUACUGGGCUUAAAGAGCUCGUAGGUGGUUAAAAAAGUUGAUGGUGAAAUCCCAAGGCUUAACCUUGGAACUGCCAUCAAAACUUUUUAGCUAGAGUGUGAUAGAGGUAAGUGGAAUUUCUAGUGUAGAGGUGAAAUUCGUAGAUAUUAGAAAGAACACCAAAUGCGAAGGCAACUUACUGGGUCACUACUGACACUGAGGAGCGAAAGCAUGGGUAGCGAAGAGGAUUAGAUACCCUCGUAGUCCAUGCUGUAAACGAUGUGUGCUAGACGUUGGGAAAUAUAUUUUUUCAGUGUCGCAGCGAAAGCAUUAAGCACACCGCCUGGGGAGUACGACCGC
This 718-nucleotide ribosomal RNA is filed under the name uncultured Pelagibacterales bacterium. RNAcentral's name for it is "bacterial SSU rRNA". It matches the Rfam family "Bacterial small subunit ribosomal RNA", at positions 137 to 889 of the family's 1533-position model. Lineage: Bacteria; Pseudomonadati; Pseudomonadota; Alphaproteobacteria; Candidatus Pelagibacterales. The record is from RNAcentral.